This 380-nucleotide ribosomal RNA is filed under the name uncultured eukaryote. RNAcentral describes it as "SSU rRNA". It matches the Rfam family "Eukaryotic small subunit ribosomal RNA", at positions 587 to 972 of the family's 1831-position model. The record is from RNAcentral.
AGCUCCAAUAGCGUAUAUUAAAGUUGUUGCGGUUAAAAGCUCGUAGUUGGAUUUCUGUUGAGAACAGCCGGUCCACCUCUUGGGUGAGUAUCUGGAUUGGUCUCGGCAUCCUCUCGAAACUCGUUGCUGCGCUUGAUUGCGUGGUGCGGUGUUCGGGACUUUUACUUUGAGGAAAUUAGAGUGUUCACGGCAGGCAUUCGCCUUGAAUAUAUUAGCAUGGAAUAAUACUAUAGGAUCUUGGUUCUAUUUUGUUGGUUUCUAGGGCUAAGAUAAUAAUCAAUAGGGACAAUUGGGGGCAUUCGUAUUACGGCGUCAGAGGUGAAAUUCUUGGAUUGCCGUACGACGAACUACUGCGAAAGCAUUUGCCAAGGAUGUUUUCA